GUCUUUUGACAACCAACAUAAAAGAUAAUGCCUGCCCAGUGAUACUUUUAAACGGCCGCGUUAGCGUGAGCGUGCUAAGGUAGCGUAAUAAUUAGCCCCUUAAUUGGGGGCCAGUGAAAGGCAACACCGGGAACACCUAUACUUCAUAUGCCAAAAAAACUUUCCCUCUAAGUGAAAAGCCUUAGAUAACAAAGGAAGACGAAAAGACCCCGCGGAACUUUAUCUCAUCUAAUACACUAACUAAUCAACACAAUUUUAGGUAAAAAAGAUUUGAUUGGGGCAAUCUCGGAACCGCCAAAGCUUCCGAUACUUUUAUUAAACUAAUCCAAAAUUAGCUCUGGACCAAAAAGAAGUUACCCCGGGGAUAACAGCGUUAUCCAACUUGAGAGUACUCAUCAAAAGUUGGGUUUGCGACCUCGAUGUUGGCUUAAGGUCAUCCCCAUUAGUGCAACCGCUAUGAAAGGACAGUCUGUUCGACUAUUAUAACCUUA
This 491-nucleotide ribosomal RNA is filed under the name Khairuloconcha sahanae. RNAcentral describes it as "partial large subunit ribosomal RNA". It matches the Rfam family "Bacterial large subunit ribosomal RNA", at positions 1816 to 2598 of the family's 2925-position model. Lineage: Eukaryota; Metazoa; Mollusca; Bivalvia; Unionida; Unionidae. The record is from RNAcentral.